This 1148-nucleotide long non-coding RNA is filed under the name Strigops habroptila (Kakapo). Its description in RNAcentral is "lncRNA (ENSSHBG00005013005.1)". The record is from RNAcentral. Lineage: Eukaryota; Metazoa; Chordata; Aves; Psittaciformes; Psittacidae.
GGCGGCCAACCGCCGGGGCCGCAGUAGCCAGUGCCUCGGCCAUGGCCGUGAGGGGCCGAGGAGCCAGAGGAACAUUCCAGGGGCCGUGGGACAGGGCGGCUGAGGAAGAGCCAGGACAUGCUGGGAUGAGCCCACGGACCUCAUACUCUGCCGCCAGGGAUGCUGGUGGCCAGCAUAAUUUUGGUGGUGCCGAUGGAGUGGGGAAGUGCUGCCCCAGCCAGCCCAGCAGUGGGGUCUGGCAGCGGGCAGGCAGCAGGAAGCCUUGCUGUGAGGAACAGAGAAUGUGGCAGAGGGUUGGGGGAAGGAGAUGGGGACAGAAGGGGAAGGGAAGCCCCAGGUGGGAGCAGGAGAGAUGCCAGCAUGCCGGCCAGCCCUGGCCAUGUGGAUCCUGCCAGCCGUGUGCCUUACACCGCAGCCUGCAGCUGUCCCCGGCCACGGCGCGGGGGUCCUUGUGCUCCCCCCAGUUUGCACGCCAGCGCCCAAGGACUGAGGCUGCUCCAGUGGUUCCUGCAGAGAGGGGCCUGCUUGCAGUCUCCUGGAUCUCGCCAGCCGGCACAGCCCCGCUCCUCAUAGCUGGGAACAGGGGCCACCAGGCCCCGCCUUCCACUCCUCCCAGCCCCGGUCCUGACAAGCGGGUUUGUGGCCCCAGGACCGACGCCGGUGCCUUCCCUGGGGCUGUCGGUUGCACCCCGUGUCGGGGCAGGGUGUCUGGCUGGCACUUCUCUUUGCAGGGGGGCAUCACGUGCCACGCACACUCCUUGCACCUGCUCAGGCCCAGGCUGCUCGUGCUCUGCACACCCAGCUCCAGUCCUUGCCCUGUGCCCCACCACCAGCCCACCCCCGCAGGCCUCCCCACGCACCCCCACCACCAACCCUCCACCCCAAACCCCGGUGCCACGGCACAGCCCCGUGCGCCCUCCCCGGCUGGUGGCAGGAUGCUCUGGAGUGCCCUGGGCUGGGGACGGGGCAGCGCCUGGGCACCCGCCUUCCAGAUACUGCUGUAGCAAUAGGGCUUUAUUUAUUGACUUCGGGGAGAAGACACCUGCCCGUCCCCAUCCCCAUCCCUGUCCCCUUCUCCGGACUUGCCGACGUCCCCGUGGUUUGGAGCAAGUGACGUGCCAGAGCAGCAAUAAAGACCCUGAGCAGCC